GUACGGAGGGUGCGAGCGUUAAUCGGAAUUACUGGGCGUAAAGCGCGCGUAGGCGGUUUGGUCAGUCAGAUGUGAAAGCCCUGGGCUCAACCUGGGAACUGCAUUUGAUACUGCCAGGCUAGAGUAUGGUAGAGGGAAGUGGAAUUCCGGGUGUAGCGGUGAAAUGCGUAGAUAUCCGGAGGAACACCAGUGGCGAAGGCGACUUCCUGGACCAAUACUGACGCUGAGGUGCGAAAGCGUGGGUAGCAAACAGGAUUAGAGACCCCAGUAGUCC
RNAcentral lists this ribosomal RNA (274 nucleotides) under uncultured bacterium. RNAcentral describes it as "partial 16S ribosomal RNA". It matches the Rfam family "Bacterial small subunit ribosomal RNA", at positions 523 to 796 of the family's 1533-position model. The record is from RNAcentral.